This 200-nucleotide long non-coding RNA is filed under the name Elaeis guineensis (African oil palm). RNAcentral describes it as "long non-coding RNA (EGUI_LNC023026)". The record is from RNAcentral. Lineage: Eukaryota; Viridiplantae; Streptophyta; Magnoliopsida; Arecales; Arecaceae.
GAUAUAAUUAGAGCAUAGAUCAUCUUCUCUGCUCUUGAAUAUCUUAUUUCGAUAUUAUAAAGCAUCUUGCUGGUAUAGUAAAUAAGUCGUUGACUUUGAUUUUCAUCCUCUUGGAUGAGUACUAAACUAACUACCUCCAUCAAAGUCGCCAAAUAGAAAUACAAAGUUUCUCGGACCUUUGAUUUUAUAAGUAGCGGUGG